Molecule: ribosomal RNA, 520 nt
Filed under: uncultured Glomus
Lineage: Eukaryota; Fungi; Glomeromycota; Glomeromycetes; Glomerales; Glomeraceae
Description: SSU rRNA
Rfam family: Eukaryotic small subunit ribosomal RNA
Source: RNAcentral
AGCAGCCGCGGUAAUUCCAGCUCCAAUAGCGUAUAUUAAAGUUGUUGCAGUUAAAAAGCUCGUAGUUGAAUUUCGGGAUCAAUACGUCGGUCGUGCUUCGGUACGUACUGGCGUAAUUGAUUUCUCCCUUCUGACGAACCAUGAUGUCAUUAACUUGGUGUCAUGGGAAAUCAGGACUGUUACUUUGAAAAAUUAGAGUGUUUAAAGCAGGCUCACGCUUGAAUACAUUAGCAUGGAAUAAUGAAAUAGGACGUUCGAUCCUAUUUUGUUGGUUUUUAGGAUCAACGUAAUGAUUAAUAGGGACAGUUGGGGGCAUUAGUAUUCAAUUGUCAGAGGUGAAAUUCUUGGAUUUAUUGAAGACUAACUACUGCGAAAGCAUUUGCCAAGGAUGUUUUCAUUAAUCAAGAACGAAAGUUAGGGGAUCGAAGACGAUCAGAUACCGUCGUAGUCUUAACCAUAAACUAUGCCGACUAGGGAUCGGAUGAUGUUAAUUUUUAAUGUACUCAUUCGGCGCCUUAAC